CACGAAGGGGGAGAGUGACCGAGGGCCACCACGGCCACCACAGCUCCUCCAGCCUGCUGGUGCCCCACUGCGUCCGGCUGCCACUCAUUCUGCGCCACCAGGUCAGGAAUCCUAGUUCAAGCAAAACCUCCUGACUGGGCAAGGGCAGGGCUCGGCCCCCUGAAAGCUGCCAGGACCUGGGAUUUGGGUAGAAGCGGGCCAGAGCUUCAGCAGAGCAGGCAUCUUCUGGACGAGGAGCCAGGCUCUCCGCCCGCCACCCUUGAUUGGAGAAAAGAGGCCAGAUCCAACCUGCAGCUGUGGGUCUACACCACAGCCACCGCAACGUGGGAUGUGAGCUGCGUCUGGGAUUUCCACCCAGCUCAUGGAACUCCUUGCCAGGUCCUUUGAAUUCAGACAUUCAAAAUGGCCCUGAUGUCAUCCCCAGCAUCAGCCAUCUGCCUGCCACCAGCACGGGAGGCGUCUCAGCAGCCCCCUCCCAGGGGCCUUCUUUCUCGGCUUACGGAAUGGAGGGAAAAGCGUGAACAUCGAGAAACAGCAGACAAGCGACCCCCAGGCCUAGCGAAGGUGAGCUGUGUGUGUGUGUGCGUGUGUGCGCCCUUCUCUCCGCUGGACCUGUUGGCAUCUUUCUCUUCCUCUCCACUGGGCUCCACGUAGAUUCAGCUGUUUCAGCCGAAGAGAAGGCUCAUGUAGUUGGGGUUCCAAGUGUGAUUUAGAAGAACCAAUAGCAGAGAAGAAAAGAAAGCUCACAGACAAAUGCUUUUCAUUAUCACGAGACUAGAAACUCGUGAUUAGGUUACUGGCUGAGGGCUGAGCAAAGGUCCCCAUCUCGUGUCCCACAGGAGUUGUCUUCACUGAUUGGGAGCGCCAGCCUCGAAGCCAGAUACAUUGGCACAAUUGUCGAGAUCACGUCUGGAUGACCUGAGCCGUAUUCGAGCUUCUUUGGCAUUUAAUGAACAAAAUUUCCUCCAAAGGCUUACAGUCCGAGAUUAGGAAAGCUAGCACUGAACUCUGUUUAGCUGAUUUACAGGCUGUCAGUUAAGGGGGCAGGCCCCCAAAUUCUCCCAAACUCAGAAAAGUGUCAAAGACCCACACCUGCAAUAUGCCCUCAUGCAAACUAGAAAGGCACACUGGUACGUCUCAUCUGUCAAAUGAGGGCAUUUGACAGAUGGUCUUCCUAGCGACUCACUCUGACUGUAAAAUUCCACGAAUGGACAUAUCUAGAAAUCUAGGGACCAGAUCACAUCAUCCCAAGGGGACAACUAUACCGGAAACACACACUUACUAAUGGCUCUGAAGCAUUAAACGAAGCCUGUCCUAUGGCUCAUACAGUCUGGCUUUGAAUCCGAUUCUUUACGCAAAGAACCCAACUGUAAGUCAAUGUUCUGAGGCUGUCAGAAAGACUGACCUGUCUCUCUCCCUAAUUCCAUCUCUCUUCCUGAGCCAUCCUUGGCUAAGCGGUAUUUCCCAGGUGUGCUGGACCCCAGCAGCUCCCUGGUGCACCUGUAGUUCCAGGCCUUUCCCCAAAACUCUGAUGGCGUUGGUCUGUGUUAGGGCCCAGAAAUCCAUAUUGCUAUCAAGCUGCUUUGAGAGUUCCUGAUUCUGAUGAUUAGACAAACACGGAAAAUCUUGAAUCAACGAUCCUGCCGGCGACCACAGCUGCCCCUUCCCUCCGGGGACAUGAAAUCAAAGGAUGACUCACGAUCACGGCGGGCGACCCUUCCUGGAGCACCGACGGAACGAGUCCCAACAGAACGAGUCCGGGUUAUCUGUGAAGUGUCCACACCAGGGACGCGGGGUUUGAGAACUCGACACUGUGCCGUGGUUUUCUUAGUCCUUCCGUUCCUCUGCCUUCCUGGUCCUGCUGCUUUCUCCUGGUUUCAUUUCUCUUACCUCAUAUCCUCUCACUGGAGAUUCGGUUGGGUUUUUUGGCGGGAUUUUUUUGUUUUGUGUUUUCUUUUUUCUUUUUACAGCUGCACCUGCAGCAUGUGGAAUUUCCUGGGUUAGGGGUCAAAUUGGAGCUGCAGCUGCCAGCUUACACUAUAGGCACAGCAACACUGGAUCUGAGCCACAUAUGUGACCUGCACCACAGCUCAUGGCAAAGCCAGAUCCUUAACUCAUUGAGCGAGGCCAGGGAUCGAACUCAGAUCUUCACGGAGACUUAUGGCAGGUUCUUAAUCCAUUUAGUCAUGAUGAAAACUCCUCAGUUGGGUUUUACGUUAGCUUUCCAGCUAUUUCUACGGCUUUUCAAAAUUAUUUCAUUCCUUUAAAAAUGUGUUUCUGUGUGGCCCCGCCCGUGGCAUGUGGAGGUUCCCCACCCGGGAUCACACCUGAGCCGUAGUCGAGACGAUGGUGGAUCUUUAACUGCUAGGCCCCGAGGGGACACCUACGGUUUUUAUAAAAAUAAUGCCUUCCCGUCUUCUGCAUUUCAAGUGACAUAAUUUACAUCAUUAUUUUUGGAUUUUUAAAAUAUUGUCUCAAUUCACCCUCUUGAUACCACCCUUUAUGAUACUGUGCUAAAUCAUGUCCGUUUUUUUUUAACCAGUCUUAGCCUGGGGGUCUGGCUCUCCAACAGAUGUCUUUGCCAUCCAGCUGUGUUAGCGCUGUCUUGUCAACUAAUCUUGUCAACUAAUUUACACCGGAAGCACAAGGCAGAUAAAUUAAAGUAUCUUUAGUUUACCUAGACUACUUCGACAUGCAUCCAAAAGCAUAAUAAGCAUAAACUAUGGAGAAUAAGUGCCAGAUUUUCUAGACACCAGGAGCAAUACCUUGGAGUUCCUGCCAUGGCGCAGUGGGUUAAGAACCUGACUGUGUUGGCUCAGGUUGCCGUGGAGGUGAGGGUUUGACCCCCGGCCUGGUGCAGUGGGUUAAAGGAUCCAGCCUUGCCACAGCUGCUGUGGAGGUCUUAGCUGUGGCUCGGAUUCAGUCCCUGGCCUGGGACCUUCCAGGUGCUGUGGGUGCGGCCAUAAGAACGGACCAAAUAACGAACGAACCAUUUCUUUCAGAACACGAUGACCCAUAAAUCAGCCGAGAGGGAUUCUCGAAGUAAAACCUAUCUCAGUCGCUUACAUCGGAUGUACUCCAGUGCCAUUGCUAACAUGGAGUUCUCCAGGAGACUGCUGGAGAGAAGCGGCCAGUUUACAGACGCGGACUCGGAGAGCAGAACCCGAGGGCUGGUCAGUGCUGUCGGGGUCUGGAAGCUGCACAGUGAGGCUCUGUCUAAGAUUUGGGCCGAGGGGUGUGGGCAGGGGCAGGUCAGCAGACUGUGCGGUGGAAGUUCUGGUGCACACAGGAGGGCUGCCUGGAAGCAGUGACCACCAUUUACAACUAAGGAUGGAGGAGGGUCCACCGGGGGCUGAACUCUUUCCAUGCGGGAUCUGGAUGUGACCAGAGGACAGAUCCCCCCUUGUUUUAGUUUUAGAAACAUAAAAAUCUAAUCUGGAGUCUGAUUUAAAAAUAAAAAGAAACUCGAGUUCCCACUGUGGCUCAGCGGUAAUGAACCCGACUAGUUCCCAUGAGGACACAGAUUCCACCCCUGGCCUCGCACAGUGGGUUAAGGAUCCGGAGUUGCUGUGACCUGUGGCACAGGUUGCAGAUGCAGCUUGAGUCCCGUGUUGCUGUGGCUGUGGUGGAGGCUGGCGGCUACAGUUCUGACUUGACGCCUAGCCUGGGAACUUCCAUAUGCUGCAGGUGUGGCCCAAAAAAGAAAAAGAAAAAGAAAAAGAAAAAAAGAAAGUCAAAACAAAAAAAAAAAACAAAAAGAAACCAAAGCAGCGCUCACCGUUCUGUGAUUUUUCGGCCGCUUCCCUCAUUGGCUUGAAAAGCCCAGUGAAGCUGCCCCUGGGAGGGCAGGGGGCAGCCCGGAGGAGGUGAGCCCAGGGACUUAAGUGGUAUUUCUUAGCCAUAAGGUACUAUCUUCUAAGAUAGCAAAUAAUUUAUAAUGAAGAUUUUAAACAUGAAUACAUAAAUACACAUUUUAGUGAUCAUUGCUAGUCCGACUUAACCAAAUUCUGUUUUAAAAAUUGUUUCUCACACUUUGAAUGUUAUGACAACAAGUUUAACAGGCAAAACGUAACAUUUGCUUCUGAACGCUGGACCACGUGUUCCCCAGUGGACACAGGCAGCGUGGAGAGCAGCCCCAGGAGAGGAUGGGGCGCCCCCGGCCGGCGGGUCUGGGGCCUCGGCCAGGAGUCCAGCCUCCCCUCAGCUUCCUGAGAUGCGACAGCCUGGCCAGUGGGACAAAAGAUUCCAAUCAAAGGACAAGAGGACACCACACAGCCCUGGGCGGCAUCUCUGCCUCUGAUUCCAUAUCAUACGGUAUCUGCCUUUCUCUGUCCUAUAUCACUUAGUGAAAUGCCUUCAAUAUCCAUCAAUGCUGUUGAAAUGGUAGGAUUUCCUUGUUUUCCCCCCAUUUUAAAUUUUAUUGAAGUAGAGUUGAUUGACAAGUUGUCAUCAUUUCUGCUGAAACAGUGAUUCAGUUGCAUACAUACACACAUCCGUUCUUUUUCAGAUUCUUUUCCCAUAUAGCUGAUCGCAGAGUACUGAGUGGGUGGAGUUCCCUGUGCUGUACAGCAGGUCCCCAUUGGCCUGUCAUUCAGUACUCAGUGCGCAUGUGCCAGUCUCAAAUCCCCGUUCACCCCUCCCCCCACCCCACCUGUCUCCUUUGGUAACCAUAGGUUUGUUUGCCAAGUCUGUGAG
This 4695-nucleotide long non-coding RNA is filed under the name Sus scrofa (pig). Lineage: Eukaryota; Metazoa; Chordata; Mammalia; Artiodactyla; Suidae. The record is from RNAcentral.